This 673-nucleotide ribosomal RNA is filed under the name Pseudosperma sororium. RNAcentral's name for it is "eukaryotic LSU rRNA". It matches the Rfam family "Eukaryotic large subunit ribosomal RNA", at positions 1 to 653 of the family's 3401-position model. The record is from RNAcentral. Lineage: Eukaryota; Fungi; Basidiomycota; Agaricomycetes; Agaricales; Inocybaceae.
UUGACCUCAAAUCAGGUAGGACUACCCGCUGAACUUAAGCAUAUCAAUAAGCGGAGGAAAAGAAACUAACAAGGAUUCCCUUAGUAACUGCGAGUGAAGUGGGAAAAGCUCAAAUUUAGAAUCUGGCAGUCGCUUGGCUGUCCGAGUUGUAAUCUAGAGAAGUGUUGCCCGUGCUGGACCAUGUACAAGUCUCCUGGAAUGGAGCAUCACAGAGGGUGAGAAUCCUGUCUUUGACAUGGACUGCCAGUGCUUUUGUGGUACGCUCUCAAAGAGUCGAGUUGUUUGGGAAUGCAGCUCAAAACGGGUGGUAAAUGCCAUCUAAAGCUAAAUAUUGGCGAGAGACCGAUAGCGAACAAGUACCGUGAGGGAAAGAUGAAAAGAACUUUGGAAAGAGAGUUAAACAGUACGUGAAAUUGCUGAAAGGGAAACGCUUGAAGUCAGUCACGUUGACUCGGAAUCAGCUCUGCUUUUGCUGGGUGUACUUUCUUGUCAAUGGGUCAGCAUCAAUUUUGACCAUUGGAUAAAGUUGCUGGGAAUGUAGCAUCCUUUUGGAUGUGUUAUAGCCUGGUGAUGCAUACGGUGGUUGGGAUUGAGGAAUUCAGCACGCCACCAGGCCGGGUUUCGACCACGUUCGUGCUUAGGAUGCUGGCAUAAUGGCUUUAAUCGACCCGUC